Molecule: ribosomal RNA, 652 nt
Filed under: uncultured bacterium
Lineage: Bacteria
Description: bacterial SSU rRNA
Rfam family: Bacterial small subunit ribosomal RNA
Source: RNAcentral
AGUGGCGGACGGGUGAGGAAUACGUAGGGAUCUGCCUUUAAGUGGGGGAUAACCCGGGGAAACCCGGAUUAAUACCGCAUGAUCUCGCAAGAGCAAAGUGGGGGAUCGCAAGACCUCACGCUUUUAGAGGAACCUACGUCGGAUUAGCUUGUUGGUGAGGUAAUGGCUCACCAAGGCGACGAUCCGUAACUGGUCUGAGAGGAUGAUCAGUCACACCGGAACUGAGACACGGUCCGGACUCCUACGGGAGGCAGCAGUGGGGAAUAUUGGACAAUGGGCGAAAGCCUGAUCCAGCAAUACCGCGUGUGUGAAGAAGGCCUUCGGGUUGUAAAGCACUUUAAGUUGGGAAGAAAAAACUUCGUCUAAUACAUGAAGUCUUGACGGUACCGACAGAAUAAGCACCGGCUAACUCUGUGCCAGCAGCCGCGGUAAUACAGAGGGUGCUAGCGUUAAUCGGAUUUACUGGGCGUAAAGCGUGCGUAGGCGGUUUGAUAAGUCGGUUGUGAAAGCCCCGGGCUCAACCUGGGAAUUGCGGCCGAUACUGUCAGACUAGAAAACGGUAGAGGGAGGCGGAACUCCAGGUGUAGCGGUGAAAUGCGUAGAUAUCUGGAAGAACACCGAUGGCGAAGGCAACCUCCUGGGCCUGUUUUGA